UACGUAGGGGCUAGCGUUGCUCGGAAUCACUGGGCGUAAAGGGUGCGUAGGCGGGUCUUUAAGUCAGGGUGAAAUCCUGGAGCUCAACUCCAGAACUGCCUUCGAUACUGGAGAGCUUGAGUCCGGGAGAGGUGAGUGGAACUGCGAGUGUAGAGGUGAAAUUCGUAGAUAUUCGCAAGAACACCAGUGGCGAAGGCGGACUCACUGGCCCGGUACUGACGCUGAGGUGCGAAAGCGUGGGAG
This 243-nucleotide ribosomal RNA is filed under the name uncultured bacterium. RNAcentral's name for it is "partial 16S ribosomal RNA". It matches the Rfam family "Bacterial small subunit ribosomal RNA", at positions 524 to 767 of the family's 1533-position model. The record is from RNAcentral.